AGAGUUUGAUCAUGGCUCAGGACGAACGCUGGCGGCGUGCUUAACACAUGCAAGUCGAACGAUGAAGCCCAGCUUGCUGGGUGGAAGAGUGGCGAACGGGUGAGUAACACGUGAGUAACCUGCCCUUCACUCUGGGAUAAGCGCUGGAAACGGCGUCUAAUACUGGAUACGACCCUUACAGGCAUCUGUUGGGGGUGGAAAGAUUUAUCGGUGAAGGAUGGGCUCGCGGCCUAUCAGGUAGUUGGUGAGGUAACGGCUCACCAAGCCGACGACGGGUAGCCGGCCUGAGAGGGUGACCGGCCACACUGGAACUGAGACACGGUCCAGACUCCUACGGGAGGCAGCAGUGGGGAAUAUUGGACAAUGGGCGCAAGCCUGAUCCAGCCAUACCGCGUGGGUGAAGAAGGCCUUCGGGUUGUAAAGCCCUUUUGUACGGAAAGAAAGCUUCCAGGUUAAUACCCUGGGAGGAUGACGGUACCGUAAGAAUAAGCACCGGCUAACUUCGUGCCAGCAGCCGCGGUAAU
RNAcentral lists this ribosomal RNA (524 nucleotides) under uncultured bacterium. RNAcentral's name for it is "bacterial SSU rRNA". It matches the Rfam family "Bacterial small subunit ribosomal RNA", at positions 8 to 524 of the family's 1533-position model. The record is from RNAcentral.